UACGGAGGGGGCUAGCGUUGUUCGGAAUUACUGGGCGUAAAGCGCACGUAGGCGGACGAGAAAGUCAGAGGUGAAAUCCCAGGGCUCAACCUUGGAACUGCCUUUGAAACUUCUUGUCUUGAGGUCGAGAGAGGUGAGUGGAAUUCCGAGUGUAGAGGUGAAAUUCGUAGAUAUUCGGAGGAACACCAGUGGCGAAGGCGGCUCACUGGCUCGAUACUGACGCAGAGGAGCGAAAGCGUGGGAGCGAACAGGAUUAGAUACCCUGGUAGUCCACGCCGUAAACGGUGGGUACUAGGUGUGGGUUCCUUCCUUGGGAUCCGUGCCGUAGCUAACGCAUUAAGUACCCCGCCUGGGGAGUACGGCCGCAAGGCUAAAACUC
RNAcentral lists this ribosomal RNA (379 nucleotides) under uncultured Rhodobacterales bacterium. RNAcentral's name for it is "bacterial SSU rRNA". It matches the Rfam family "Bacterial small subunit ribosomal RNA", at positions 524 to 902 of the family's 1533-position model. The record is from RNAcentral. Lineage: Bacteria; Pseudomonadati; Pseudomonadota; Alphaproteobacteria; Rhodobacterales.